GCCGCGCUGCCGUCGCUCCGCGGGGAUAAAUCCUCCAUUGUAGUGGGAAUUUCCACGGGCUCAUCCCCCACAGCCCUCGAACGACUUUCCCUGGCUCAACAGAAACGCAUCAUGGAGAACCAGACUUUAUUUAGUUGCCUGAUUCCAAGGUCCCAGCACCCGUCCCAUAAAGGACGCCCUUAGUGAAACUCGGGAGUCCUGGGGUGAGGCCCAGAGCGUUGUAACCAAACACUGAUCAGGAGGGGCAAACACGAGGUAAAAAGUGAUUCUCGGGUCAACUGGUUUGUCAGCAGAGCAGUGCGGUUCAGGAGAAACAAGGAAUGUGACAGACCCAAACAAGGUACCUUAAAAUAGCCCGUGCAUAUUUUAAAAUACCUUAAAAUUUUCAGGUGUAAAAUCAUGCACAGUCGAGAGAGACAAAGAAAAAAAAAAAAACCCAAACAAAAGCCCUGCUCGGUUUUCAGGACUUAAAUUAUUCACAAUCAUGAAAAAGAAGACCUAUGGCAGCCCUGCAGACAACUUGCCGUGUAGCUGUGUCAGUAAACCCAUCAGGACACACAUGGAGGAGACUGAAGUUAAAAGAAGACAGGGUAUAGGACACACUGGUUCCAUGCUUCAAAUUACAGCUCUUCAUUAGUGAUAAUGAGGUUUCCAUAAAACCAUGUAAGACUGCGAUGACAGAAUCUUCUGCUCACAACUCCUCUGACAGGACUGUGUAGAGACCACCCACAGCAAAGUGGCAUGAAUUGAAGAGUGACACUGGGCUGUCAUUUUAGUUGGGAUUUUUACAUAUAAACAGACUCCACGGAGAAUGGAGGCGACCUCUGGCACCAAAGGAGCAGAAUUUUUGUGAGCAAACCCUCUAGUACUCAAUAAAUGAAAUAGAAAGAA
Molecule: non-coding RNA, 891 nt
Organism: Cyanistes caeruleus (blue tit)
Lineage: Eukaryota; Metazoa; Chordata; Aves; Passeriformes; Paridae
Source: RefSeq, a predicted model, not a curated record